This 497-nucleotide ribosomal RNA is filed under the name uncultured bacterium. RNAcentral describes it as "partial 16S ribosomal RNA". It matches the Rfam family "Bacterial small subunit ribosomal RNA", at positions 899 to 1397 of the family's 1533-position model. The record is from RNAcentral.
ACUCAAAUGAAUUGACGGGGGCCCGCACAAGCGGUGGAGUAUGUGGUUUAAUUCGAAGCAACGCGCAGAACCUUACCUGGGCUUAACAUCCUUUGACAAUCUCAGAGAUGAGACUUUCCCUUCGGGGACAAAGUGAUAGGUGCUGCAUGGCUGUCGUCAGCUCGUGUCGUAAGAUGUUGGGUUAAGUCCCGCAACGAGCGCAACCCUUACCUUUAGUUGCCAUCAUUAAGUUGGGAACUCUAAAGGGACCGCCGGUGUUAAACCGGAGGAAGGCGGGGAUGACGUCAAGUCCUCAUGGCCCUUACGUCCAGGGCUACACACGUACUACAAUGGCGGAGUCAAAGCGUUCCGAAACCGCAAGGUGGAGGCAAUCGCAAAAAAACCGCCUCAGUUCGGAUUGAAGUCUGCAACUCGACUUCAUGAAGCUGGAAUCGCUAGUAAUCGAAGAUCAGCACGCUUCGGUGAAUACGUUCCCGGGCCUUGUACACACCGCCCGU